AUUGAACGCUGGCGGCAGGCUUAACACAUGCAAGUCGAGCGAGACCUUCGGGUCUAGCGGCGGACGGGUGAGUAACGCGUGGGAACGUGCCCUUCUCUACGGAAUAGCCCCGGGAAACUGGGAGUAAUACCGUAUACGCCCUUUGGGGGAAAGAUUUAUCGGAGAAGGAUCGGCCCGCGUUGGAUUAGGUAGUUGGUGGGGUAAUGGCCCACCAAGCCGACGAUCCAUAGCUGGUUUGAGAGGAUGAUCAGCCACACUGGGACUGAGACACGGCCCAGACUCCUACGGGAGGCAGCAGUGGGGAAUCUUAGACAAUGGGGGCAACCCUGAUCUAGCCAUGCCGCGUGAGUGAUGAAGGCCUUAGGGUUGUAAAGCUCUUUCAGCUGGGAAGAUAAUGACGGUACCAGCAGAAGAAGCCCCGGCUAACUCCGUGCCAGCAGCCGCCGCGG
RNAcentral lists this ribosomal RNA (449 nucleotides) under uncultured bacterium. RNAcentral's name for it is "partial 16S ribosomal RNA". It matches the Rfam family "Bacterial small subunit ribosomal RNA", at positions 30 to 523 of the family's 1533-position model. The record is from RNAcentral.